GAAGUAUCUUGGUAUGUAAACCUCUUUUCUCAAGAAAGAAGUUCUGACGGUACUUGAGGAAUAAGCAUCGGCUAACUCCGUGCCAGCAGCCGCGGUAAUACGGAGGGUGCAAGCGUUAUCCGGAAUCAUUGGGCGUAAAGCGCCUGUAGGUUGUUUAGUAAGUCCAUUGUUAAAGACCAGGGCUUAACCCUGGGAAAGCAAUAGAAACUACUAGACUUGAGUAUGGCAGGGGUAGAGGGAAUUUCUAGUGUAGCGGUGAAAUGCGUAGAUAUAGGAAGGAAUACCGAUGGCGAAGGCAGCCACCUGGACCAAUACUGACGCUGAGGUGCGAAAGCGUGGGGAGCAAAC
This 348-nucleotide ribosomal RNA is filed under the name Isochrysis galbana. RNAcentral's name for it is "partial Bacterial small subunit ribosomal RNA". It matches the Rfam family "Bacterial small subunit ribosomal RNA", at positions 410 to 773 of the family's 1533-position model. The record is from RNAcentral. Lineage: Eukaryota; Haptophyta; Isochrysidales; Isochrysidaceae.